Molecule: long non-coding RNA, 503 nt
Filed under: Nicotiana benthamiana
Lineage: Eukaryota; Viridiplantae; Streptophyta; Magnoliopsida; Solanales; Solanaceae
Description: long non-coding RNA (NBEN_LNC022473)
Source: RNAcentral
AAAGUGGUAAAAUUAUCAACUAAUGGGACAAAGUGAAUAAACAAUUGAAAAAUGAAAGUGAAUAAACAGAUGAAAAUUAACUAUGCUUGAUUUGUAAAUAUUUGGAAUAAGAUCUAAGGUAAUGGUUUCCCCCAUUGUUGAUUUCCUUGGUUAUAUUUUUUUUAUAGCUGUGACUUAGUUGCCUCUAUCAAUCAUGAACUCUCUAGCUACCAUAAAUCUCUUUCAAGCAAUUAUGACAAUUUACUAGACACACUCUCUCAAGUUACGGUAGCUAGGUUCACAUUACAGUUCACUUAGAUUGCACCCGAUGUAUCGUUAUCUCUAAUGCAACCUCUAAACCCUCGGCUAUGGCUCUCGUCUAUACUCCGGGAGUGAUGUUGUUCAAACAACUACCUAAAUAUGCACCCUCUCUCAAGCAUACACAUAAUAAAAUAUGAACGGCUAAUUAAGUAUCCUUUCAAUUAACCACAAUCAAAACGUACUUGAACAAAUAGAGAUUAACA